ACUACACCCUUAACUACCACAACCACACAACCUCUUAGGGCCCUGUAUAGUAGGUUUUAGGUUGGGGCGACCACGGAGUACAACCAAACCUCCGCAAUGAACGGGACCACUCCCUUAUCUAAGAGCCACACCUCUAAGAAUUAAAACACUAACAUAAAAUGAUCCAUGAUCUGAUCAAUGAACCAAGUUACCCUGGGGAUAACAGCGCAAUCCAUUUCAAGAGCCCCUAUCGACAAGUGGGUUUACGACCUCGAUGUUGGAUCAGGGUAUCCUAGUGGUGCAGCAGCUACUAAUGGUUCGUUUGUUCAACGAU
This 313-nucleotide ribosomal RNA is filed under the name Mantidactylus opiparis. RNAcentral's name for it is "partial 16S ribosomal RNA". It matches the Rfam family "Bacterial large subunit ribosomal RNA", at positions 2199 to 2588 of the family's 2925-position model. The record is from RNAcentral. Lineage: Eukaryota; Metazoa; Chordata; Amphibia; Anura; Mantellidae.